GGAAAGAGUGUUGAUCUUACUGGAUUCAGGAAGUACACACAACUUCCUGGAUCCCUCCAUUGCUAAGAAGGCUAACCUCUUGGUGGACCCAACAAACAAGCUGAAAGUCAUUAUAUCAAAUGGAGAUAUGAAAACCUCCAGAAGUUUAAA
This is a long non-coding RNA of Juglans microcarpa x Juglans regia, 150 nucleotides long. RefSeq lists it as uncharacterized. The record is from RefSeq and is a predicted model, not a curated record. The transcript is spliced from 3 exons. NCBI's taxonomy places the organism in Eukaryota, Viridiplantae, Streptophyta, Magnoliopsida, Fagales, Juglandaceae.